CAGAGGGGGCAAGCGUUAUUCGGAAUUAUGGGCGUAAGGGCGCGUAGGCGGCUUUGCAAGUGACGGGUGAAAUCCCUCGGCUUAACCGAGGAACUGCCUGUCAGGCUGCAUGGCUUGAGACCAGGAGAGGUGAGUGGAAUUCCCAGUGUAGCGGUGAAAUGCGUAGAUAUUGGGAGGAACACCAGUGGCGAAGGCGGCUCACUGGACUGGUACUGACGCUGAUGCGCGAAAGCGUGGGGAGCAAACAGGAUUAGAUACCCUGGUAGUCCACGCCGUAAACGAUGAGUGCUUGGUGUAGCGGGUAUCGACCCCUGCUGUGCCGAAGUCAACACAUUAAGCACUCCGCCUGGGGAGUACGGUCGCAAGACUG
This 370-nucleotide ribosomal RNA is filed under the name uncultured organism. Its description in RNAcentral is "bacterial SSU rRNA". It matches the Rfam family "Bacterial small subunit ribosomal RNA", at positions 526 to 896 of the family's 1533-position model. The record is from RNAcentral.